CCACUUUCGGAUAAAAAUUUAUUAAGAUGAAAAUCUUUUGUUUGGGCUUAGGCCAGUUUCAGUUCCCCAAGGCCCAAAAAGAGCAUUGUAGUAGCAGUCUAGCAGAAAAGAGGAAAGCAGCUGCACUGGGCCUUGUUGCAAGCGGAAGGAAAAUGAUGUUGAGUCGGCGGGUGGCCGCAGCACUGCCGUUCCGGUUCGCCGCUCCUGCCGCGAACCAAGUUCCCAUGCCAAAGCACCACCUUCCUCUUAUAUCCUUCCAUCCCGAAAACGUUGCCGUUUUAUGCUCCAGAUCCAACUCCAGCUUAAGUCAACAAUCGGAAACGGAGCAUGUUGACUACUCACUGUUUCGGACGCAGCAGACUAACCUCAAACCAGGCCUUUAUCUCGUUGGAACACCAAUUGGAAAUCUCGAAGAUAUCACCUUUAGGGCUCUUCGCGUGCUGAACUCUGCAAAUGUGAUUCUCUCGGAAGAUACGAGGCACUCUGGCAAGUUGCUUCAUCACUACAACAUCAAAACUCCCCUCAUGAGUUAUCACAAGUUCAACGAGUCGCAAAGGGAGCAACUUGUGUUGAAGAGGCUCAAAGAAGGCGAGAUUGUGGCCCUCAUAUCUGAUGCUGGAACUCCAGGCAUCAGUGAUCCUGGCAUGGAAUUGAAUGGAUUAGUGCAGGCCAAAUUAUGUAUUAGUGAAAAUAUCCUUGUUGUUCCAAUCCCUGGUCCCUGUGCUUUGGUAUCAGCUCUUUCUGCUUCGGGUUUGCCUACUCACGAGUUCACAUUUGUUGGUUUUCUUCCAAAGCAUUCAGGAUCAAGAAGGAAGAGGCUUAUGUCUUUGGCAGAUCAAACAGCUACACAGAUAUUUUAUGUUCCUCCUCACAAGCUUUCCCAAUUUCUUGAAGAGGCUUCUUCUAUAUUUGGUGAUGCAAGGCAAUGUGUCAUUGCUCGGGAAAUGACCAAGUUACAUGAAGAGGGUGAGUUAUGGUGCCUUCUGUGUUGGCUAGCUGCGAUCUGUGGCUAGCGUGGCUAUGGGAGCCUGACCUGUGAUGAUACGACACAUGAUGGGUUGACUGGCGAGUUGGACCACAGGACUCCAGGUUUGAAGGACGGUAACUCUCCUAAGGAGGACGGUAAUUAUGAAUGUCUGUGCUUAGCCUUGCCAUUUAGUUAAACUUGUACAAAAAUAAAGGAAACUACUUGUGGAAAUUAAAUUAAGCAAAGAAGUAGUGAUGAAAGAAAAAAAAAAACUUGAUGAAAGAAGUAAAUUUUGAAGAAAAUGAAAAUAAAAAAUAUCAUGAAUGAAACUUAAGCGGCAGAGAGAGCCCUGAACGCUGGCUUCCAUGGAAGAAAACGUAAGGUUCCGACUGUCACAGGUGUAGGUGACUGGCUUGUUCCGAUCGGAAUUUUCUGGCUGUGGCGAAGGGAGGACCUUCUGGCAACAGUAGGAGCUGGUUUUGUCAAGGGGUCAGGAAUUUGUUUUGUAAAUGGAAAGUGAUCUGGAAGGGGACUUCGAUUUUUUAGGCCAUUGGACGAAUGAGUGGAGCUCGGACUCCGGGGAUGAGGAGCAGGAGAUGGAUGGGCUCGAUGUAUGGCAUCAGAGGAAAGGGAGACUGAUAUGUGUUAUGAAAGAAGCAAUCCUACCCCACGGUAAAAGAUGCAAAAUUAUCCGUGCUUAAUUUGCUAAACAUGCCUUAAGGAAACUAACUACGAAGCCACGCGUCAGCAUCCCAUUGGACGCUCAUCUUAUAGCCACCGCUAGCCACGACUACCGUGGCCACCAGAGACGCAGCCUUAUUUCUUUUGGCGUGGUACGGUAAGAGAGGCCAAGGAAGUCUUUUUGAUGCGGCAGCCGAAGGGAGAACUAACCAUAUUGAUUGAAGGGCAAACAAGUUCUAAAGUGGAACCUCCAUCAGACAGUGAGCUUGAAGAUGAACUAAGAGAAUUGAUUGCAAGUGGCGAGACUCUAUCCACGGCUGUGAAAUUGGUUGCUGGCAGAACAUCAGCGAGUAAAAAGACUAUAUAUUCACUUGCAUUAAAAACAUUUGGAAAGCAGCUUCAAGGGGAAGACGAUUCAAACUAGUGGCAACUUUUUAUAUGGUAAGGUUGAUGUUACUGUGCUACUGUUUUAUUCAUGCCUUUUCUGGUGGCUCAAUCCAUCAAUUGGGAUCGAUGGUGUUCUACCAAAAGGAACGAUUUUCCACCCUUGUUGAAGCAUUAGUAGUGAUCAUAUCUACAAUGAUUUGAUUGGUCUCCUAGAGUGCAAGUUGUUGCCUUGGCUCUCCAGGGUCCAGUAGCAAAAAAUUGGUUGUAACGUAGGCGAGGAAAAUCCGAAAAUGUCAAGGCGUAAUUUCUUAUUUAUUUUUGUAACCAAUUUGCUUCAUCUGAUUGUGGUGAUUGGCGAAACGGUGUUGUAUUUAUCUGCCCUGAAUUGAACCUCUGUAUUAUGCAGAAUGCUAAAUUCGAAUGUACAUAUUGGACGAC
Arachis ipaensis is the source of this 2473-nucleotide non-coding RNA. The record is from RefSeq and is a predicted model, not a curated record. Lineage: Eukaryota; Viridiplantae; Streptophyta; Magnoliopsida; Fabales; Fabaceae.